This 385-nucleotide long non-coding RNA is filed under the name Athene cunicularia (burrowing owl). Its description in RNAcentral is "lncRNA (ENSACUG00000008143.1)". Lineage: Eukaryota; Metazoa; Chordata; Aves; Strigiformes; Strigidae. The record is from RNAcentral.
ACAACAAUAAUGCUGCUUUGAUUCAUUGAGAUCUGCUUUGUAAACACUAUAAAAUAACUUUGAUAAUUGCAGGGUGAAAAGGGAGAACCAGGAGCUAUCAUUACUGCUGAUGGAUCUUUACCUGAAUUAUUAGGAAGAAAAGGGGAGAAGGGUGAAGCUGGAGUGGUGGGACCAGUGGGACCAGUGGGACCAAUAGGACCUACUGGACCUAAAGGAGAACUUGGUUUCCCAGGACGUCCAGGCCGUCCAGGACUGAAUGGACUGAGAGGUGUGAAAGGUGAUCAAGGUGAAGCCUUUAAUGGCCCUCCUGGCCUGCCUGGACCCCCAGGGCCCCCUGGACCUCCAGGACGUAUAGUUUAUAUCAAAGGAACAGUUUUCCCAGUCC